UUUCUGAUAAGGGGGAGCAGUAGUAGGGGGGAGACCGGCCCCGGUCUCUUGGAUGGUACCAGGGACUCCCCGACAGGUCCUCACCCAGGAAAUAGAUGAGCAAGGUGGGCUUGAUACCGGGAACUGGGGUCAUAGAAGGACAGGAGAGAGAGAGAGAGAGAGAGAGAGAGAGAGAGAGAGAGAGAGAGAGAGAGAGAGAGAGAGAGAGAGCAAGAGAGAGAGGCUGAGAGAGAGAGAGAGAGAGAGAGAGAGAGAGAGAGAGAGAGAGAGAGAGAGAGAGAGAGAGGCUGAGAGAGAGGCUGAGAGAGAGAGAGAGAGAGAGAGAGAGAGAGAGAGAGAGAGAGAGAGAGAGAGAGAGAGAGAGAGAGACGGAGAGAGAGACGGAGACCCAGCACUGCCUCACUGAUACUGGGUCUCCGGCUCUCUUCCCCCCCUCCCUCGGCUCUCUCUCUCUUCUCUCUUUUUUCUUUCCAAACAGGCAACUCUGUCUUGAACCGGUGCCAAUGUAGGCUGGCCCAAGCCGCUGCAGCUGAAACUUUAACAAGCGGCCGCGGCGGGGAGCAGGAAGACGGGAGACACACGGCGGUUUGUGAAGGCAGGCUCGUUCUCUGGGCUCCCUUUCAGGCUCGGGGAUCCGCCGCCUCAGGUCCAGACUUUGUUUGGAUGGAAAUCGCUUUUUCUAUUUUUUGUGAUUAUUUAGCUAUUCUCUUUUAAACCAGGAACUUGGGAUUUCAGCGGCUGGCAGCAGCUGUGGCUGUGGACGCUACAGUAUUUGUUUAUUUCUGUAUUUAAAGGCACGGGGGGGGGGGGGGGGGGGAAAGGAAUAGUUUUGAUUGAAGAGCAGAAUUGAGAGCAGACAGUGACGUCACGGAGGCAGCAGUCCAGGAUAAUGCCUGAGGAGUCACGAGAACCAGAGCUAAAUAUUUCCAGUCUUGUUCCACGGAGACCGGUGCGUUCUGUUUCUGUGGAGAGAGGCACGUUGGGCGCAUUGUUUAUGGCAUCACGUAAAAACAAGAUACCGAUGCUUUUUCUUUUCCACAGGUCUAUUUUGGGCGUUUCUUUUUUGGGGUCCGUUCAUAUUUUUUCAAUUUUUUUCCCACAAAGCAUAUCGCAAUAAAGCGCUGGAAGGUGCAGGAGCAAGGACAGAGCGAGGAGGAGAGAGGGAGAGAGAGAGGGAGCAGGAGAGAGAGGAGAGAGAGAGAGAGAGAGAGAGAGAGAGAGAGAGAGAGAGAGAGAGAGAGAGAGAGAGAGAGGUGGAACGACUACCGAAAAUGGGAAGCGCGAGGCAGUGCCUCACAGCGAUGCCAAGUGCUGACAAAAGAUUUUACUGUGGGGUUUCGCUGAGAAGUCUCUAAGUUAUUCUGCUGUUUCACCCUUAAAACGCCACGGGAACGUAUCAGGGGCCAGACGGCGGAGACACACGCAUCUGUUGAGGCAUCUGGUGUCGUAUUAAGAUAACACGUAAGUAUACUUUGCGUCUCCUACUUACUUAAUCACAACUUAUGCUCCCUGCACUGCUCUUCCUCACUCUCAUUCACCCCCUCAGCCCCCAAGCAGCCCGUGGCUAAGAGAGAUGUCUGUCUUUGACAUCACAGAAUCUGGAGGGAGGGAGUUUUUCUGGGGGGGGGGGGGGGGGGGGGCUGCAAGUUAGUGACUGCAAACGCAUCAAAGUGAAUCACAGUGUUGUGCUGUUUCACAGCUUGUUUCAUCUCUGCGGAUCUCGGUUGUUUUUUUUGGCGGCUGGAGUCUCGGUUGUCUUUAUUUUAUUAUUCUGUUUUCGUUUGGUUCGGUCUGAGCUAGUCUCGGUGGGUUCGGAUCUGUCUUUCUAUUUGGGCUGGGGCUGGUCUGAGUUGAUUUUUUCCGAUUUUUAUAUUUUGUCUUCGGUUGAGGCUAGUCUGUUGGUUGUAUUUUUCAUAUAUUUUCGUUUUAUUUCGGCUGGGUUUGGUCUGGGCUUUGUCCAGUCGCAGUGUGUAUAUUUCUUUAUACUUGGGGUUCGUCGGGCUGGAUCCUGUUGUGUUUUUUUUAUCUCUUAAACAUCCGAACUGGGAUCGGUCCGGCCUCGUUCCGGUCGUAUUCGACACAUAUUCUGAUAUUUAUCCUCGGUUGGAGCUCGUCUCAGUUGUAUAUUAUAUAUAUUUCCACGUUUCAACUCGGCUUGGAGCCGUUCUCUGCUGUAUUUUACGUCUAUUCCGGUGUGCUUCGACCUGGGAGCGAGGUCUUGGGGCCUGUUGCAACCGGACAGAGUGGGCAGGCAGAGAGGGCACAGCCACUUCGCUACCCCCCAGCCCCCUGGCUCAGCUGGGUUUGCUCGCAACUACACAGCUCAGCCUUUUCCUCCUGACGACCGGACAAAAUGGAUGUGGAAGUGUGUUCUCGAUUGGCCCUCCAUGUCGACCCCUUCUGCGAGUCUUUCUGUUCGGGUUCUGCCGAUCGCUCUGGGCCUACGCUACGGGUCAUCUACUGCUAGCCCGUCCUGUAGAAACCCCCCGUCCCCCCUUCCAGCAAGGGACUCCAGGCAAAUAAACAAAAUGGAGAUUCCUUCUAAGCCACGACCACCAGAUUGAAAGCCCGGCGAGGUUCAACCUGCCGCGCUCAACAUCAGGUUAACGCCGCGUGCCAUCAUGAACAUGGAUGAUGAUUACAUUUCUGAACCGUCUCUCUGGUCCGCAUCGCCCGGUUUCCGACCGGUUCUCGCUCUGCGGUUCGUCUGGCAGAGAGCCGUAGGCGACACUGUCGUCCGUUAUUUUGCUGUCAACAACAGCCUUGUUGAUAGGGCAUCUUCUGGUUGCUUGGCAGCCCAGCCCCGUCCCCCUCCCCCCUCUCGCCCACCUCUCCGUACCCCCAUCGCCAUGGGCACAGCCGGGCUGCGUCCCCCAACAUCCCUCCUGUUUCGCUCCCAUUCAGACGCCGUUUGGCAGCCCACACAAUGCCCAUUUUCUUGGCACUCGAUUGCGCGACGAAGGAGAGGGAGCCAUGGAGGGCGAGCGAGCCAAACAGAGAGAGCGAGAGACAGACCUCCGCCGUGAAACCCCCCCCCCCCCCCGCCGCGCCACCGUUCACACGGACCGAUGCCAACUGCCGUCCUUCACCCCUCCGUCAAGACGCUCCCGCUCAUAAACACCUUCCUCCUCCUCGUCGGAGCCCUUUGGAUAAUGCUUGCAACGGAUUUAUUAAUAUAGAAAUGUUUUUUUUUUAUGACAUUCUGAAAAUUUUCGCGAUUUUAAACUUUGCAAACCGCCGCUGCUGUCUGGUGUCGUAACGGAAGUUUACCAGAAGGUAGAGCGCUGUGGUUCUGCGUGCUGAAGGGCACGGAUUUCCAACUGACUUUUUUUUUACACGAGGGCAGCCAUUUUCUUUUCGCCGCCGACUUCCGUGGCAGCCUGGGAAAACACGGUUAAAGUCACGAGUCACGAGUCAGAAUAACAUCCAUGGACAUAUUGAAUGCAUAUCUCGGUAGCAUGCGCCGCUAUACGUAUGUGCGAAUCGUAGCUAUAAAAAAACACAUGGAUAUCAUCUAGAACAAUAUGUGACUGACAAAGCAUCCCUUUACUUUGCUUCAUUGGUCUUGUUUUUGUUCAUUUGUCUUUCGUUGUUAUUACUGUUUUGCGAUGUAGAUAACUAUUUACGCUAUUUUUGGAAAAAGGUAAAAUAUGACAAAAGGCUCAAUUAUUUAUUGGUGUGACUGCAUGGUAGCGUCUUCUGCAUGACCUGAAACUAAUGUGAAUGGGUUAACUUAAAAACUUCACAACAGAUUUUGGGUUUUUAUCGUCGUGGCUGGCAAACAUUACUACAAGGUUAUACUGUAACUUUGUGGCAAGACCUAACUGCAGCACGGGUUGUGUGUGUGUGUGUGUGUGUGUGUGUGUGUGUGUGUGUGUGUGUGUGUGUGUGUGUGUGUGUGUGUGUGUGUGUGUGUGUGUGUGUGCGUGUGUGUGUGUGCGCGCCUGGCCCCCAGAUAUGCUUAUCAAAGCCGCUCUACGUGGCUGGGUUCUUAUCAGUGACUAAUCCAACUGUUUCGAGGUUCUUAAGGUGUAGUCCGGCCCAACACCACAACGCACAAAGAUUGUUCGCAAUCAACACAAACGUCUCUCGCUCAUAAGGCUCAGAGAAAUGCACUUAGUGUCGCGUUCCACCCCGGGUAGCCAGUGCAGAGAGAGUUUGAUAGCAUUUUCCUUCUAAUUAAUUCAACAUCUCUAUCAAGGCCUCCCUUGCCUUUUCAGUCCCCCCCCCCAUGGCCUGGCAGUCCCCACCUCAUGGUCUGCCAAAACAUUUCAAUCACUGCUCGCCUUAAUUAGGGACCCAAGUGGAAUUCUGAAUGUUAAUGAACUGCCCAGCCGCUUCUCAACAGUUCACAUGCUAAUUUAUGCAAAGUGCCCAGGUCUUUGUAUGGUCUUUGACCAUCUCUAACAGUCAGUGUCUGGGCACAGUCAGCCCGACUUUAGUCACAAGAAGACAAAACUGUCUGGGCGAGACAAAAACCAGUCUAGCCCAGUGACGAGCAGGUCUUGUUUAAUGAGUAGUUUUCGGUUUUUCAAAAGGUGGAUGUGGCCUUUUUUCAAAACGUCAUGAAUAGGUCCUAAAUUGACCACUUUUACCACUUUUUCUGUAUUAGUGUUUGACUUAAAUACAAAAAAAAGGAUUUUACUUUUUACAAUGUCCUACUGAUAUGAAUUCUCUCACUCAAAUUUGUGGAAAAGAGACAAAAACUGCGUUUACUGUGUGUGUGUGUCUGUGUGUGUGUGUGUGUGUGUGUGUGUCUGUGUGUGUGUGUGUGUGUGUGUGUGACUGUGUGUGUGUGUGUGAUCAACUGCAUGCAAAAAACAGACUUCCUUUGACAUUCGGUUCACAUCAGAUCCUAUUUACAACUCACAUGACUCUGCAUUUGUCCGACCGAAGUUUUGGGGAGAGAUGACAGUUGCGUCAUCUCAUCACAGGGUUUAGGCCUCAUUGUUUGCACGGUUGCUUGUCUCUCAUAAAUCAAAGUGUCAGUUGAGUUCUAUUGCUAUAAAAAACACGGAGAAGGGCCAACCUGAUCAUAACCACUCACUUCGCCUUUGUUUGGGUCUUUGUCUUCUUUCUAAAAUAAUGCUUUCAAGAUAAACCGUCACCAAACUCCCUCUGCACACCGUCAGACUGACUUGUUUUGUGCUUGUCUCUUCCAGUGCGUGUCUGUGUGCAGGCUGUGCUGCCGUGCUCACCUGCAGCGGCGUCUGUUCUUGUGGCUGAGGUAGUAGAUUGAAUAGUUGUGGGGCCGAGUCCUCCCUCUGCGUUAACUAUACAAUCUACUGUCUUUCCUAAGGAGGCAGAGGAUUCACCGUCGACCUGUUGAACCCGCAUUACGGACCUGAAUCCAGGAUAUCGCAAAUUAAAUGGAUUGAUUUAGAUAGUUGUCCUACUUUUCUACUCGAGCUAGACCUUGCGAGGUGAGGUAGUAGGUUGUAUAGUUUGUGGGAUGGAUUGAAUCCUUAUUUUGGUGAUAACUAUACAGUCUAGUGCCUUUCUCGAGAGGUGUAAAGAAACGCUGUGAUGCUGUGUGCAACCAACAGUUCGGUAACGGGGCAGCGCUGCCCCCUGCUGGUCAAACUGGCGUAAGUCACAUGCAUGUGAUAAGAUGAUACAGUUACUACUGAAUUAAGUAAUAUAAUAGGCCUGCACAAAUCGCAAUAUGGAGGAUUCACAAUGAAAAAUAACAAAUGAUGAUGGAUAAUAAGAUUCUGUUUGAAAAUUGUCAAGAAUAUGUUUUCUGUUUUGUUAUUAUGAUUAAAUCCAAUACAUGUUGCACCUGUUUCUCAUAUUAAAAUACACAAUUUAAUUAGCAAGAA
This is a long non-coding RNA of Gadus macrocephalus (Pacific cod), 5822 nucleotides long. RefSeq lists it as uncharacterized. The transcript is spliced from 2 exons. The record is from RefSeq and is a predicted model, not a curated record. Lineage: Eukaryota; Metazoa; Chordata; Actinopteri; Gadiformes; Gadidae.